RNAcentral lists this ribosomal RNA (747 nucleotides) under uncultured bacterium. RNAcentral describes it as "bacterial SSU rRNA". It matches the Rfam family "Bacterial small subunit ribosomal RNA", at positions 149 to 917 of the family's 1533-position model. The record is from RNAcentral.
UAGGGAAACUUAGGCUAAUACCGCAUACGACCUACGGGUGAAAGCGGGGGAUCGCAAGACCUCGCGCGACAGGAUGAGCCGAUGUCCGAUUAGCUAGUUGGCGGGGUAAAGGCCCACCAAGGCGACGAUCGGUAGCUGGUCUGAGAGGAUGAUCCCCCACACUGGUACUGAGACACGGCCCAAACUCCUACGGGAGGCAGCAGUGGGGAAUCUUGCGCAAUGGGCGAAAGCCUGACGCAGCCAUGCCGCGUGUAUGAUGAAGGUCUUAGGAUUGUAAAAUACUUUCACCGGUGAAGAUAAUGACUGUAGCCGGAGAAGAAGCCCAGGCUAACUUCGUGCCAGCAGCCGCGGUAAUACGAAGGGGGCUAGCGUUGCUCGGAAUUACUGGGCGUAAAGGGAGCGUAGGCGGACAUUUAAGUCAGGGGUGAAAUCCCAGAGCUCAACUCUGGAACUGCCUUUGAUACUGGAUGUCUUGAGUGUGAGAGAGGUAUGUGGAACUCCGAGUGUAGAGGUGAAAUUCGUAGAUAUUCGGAAGAACACCAGUGGCGAAGGCGACAUACUGGCUCAUUACUGACGCUGAGGCUCGAAAGCGUGGGGAGCAAACAGGAUUAGAUACCCUGGUAGUCCACGCCGUAAACGAUGAUUGCUAGUUGUCGGGAUGCAUGCAUUUCGGUGACGCAGCUAACGCAUUAAGCAAUCCGCCUGGGGAGUACGGUCGCAAGAUUAAAACUCAAAGGAAUUGACGGC